GUCAAAAAGUGCGAGAAGCGGCCAUUUUCUCAGCGUCUGCAGAUGGAAGCGAGUGAAGGGCGAUUUUCGACUUGUUGAGCUUCGAGUCUUCAUUUUGUCCGCGCCGGGAGUUAACGACACGGAAGACCGCGUGUGAGAGGAGGUGAUCGGCUCGGCUUCUUCAGAAGAGACGGAAAGACAAAUAGAGAACUCAACUUUGAGGCUAACACCACAGGCACCUACUUGUGUGAGGAGGCGAUUUUUCUGAGCUUUAGAAAAGAGGGAAAAGUGAUUUAAGGCAAGUAAAGAACUCAAAUCAGCUCUGGAGUUAACGGCACGGAAGGCCGCAUGUGAGAGGAGGCGAUCUCCUCAGCUUCUUCAGAAGAGAGGGAAAGACAGUAUAAG
Molecule: long non-coding RNA, 384 nt
Organism: Labeo rohita (rohu)
Lineage: Eukaryota; Metazoa; Chordata; Actinopteri; Cypriniformes; Cyprinidae
Exons: 4
Source: RefSeq, a predicted model, not a curated record